This is a long non-coding RNA of Phacochoerus africanus (Common warthog), 283 nucleotides long. RefSeq lists it as uncharacterized. The transcript is spliced from 2 exons. The record is from RefSeq and is a predicted model, not a curated record. Lineage: Eukaryota; Metazoa; Chordata; Mammalia; Artiodactyla; Suidae.
AGUAGUGGGGCAUGCAGAAGUUCCUGGAUCAAACCCGUGCCAUAGCAGUGACCGGAGCCACAGCAGUGACAAUGCCAGGUCCUUAACCACUCGGUCACCAGGCAACUCCAAAUGAGCAGUGUCCCGUGAAAGAAGAAAUGACCGAUACCAACUUGAUGUUGCAGAAGAAAUCAAGAGGGGUGAGUGUGUGGGGGAGAACGAUUCUUUACCCUGUCCGACUGACUCAAGGCAGGAACCCUGAUCAGAAACUUAAGAAAAAAGGCCACGAGGCUCAAACUGGAAA